This 82-nucleotide non-coding RNA is filed under the name unclassified sequences. RNAcentral's name for it is "S15-Methanomicrobia ribosomal protein leader". It matches the Rfam family "S15-Methanomicrobia ribosomal protein leader". The record is from RNAcentral.
AGCACUUUUUAACAGGGUGCUGACAGAUGUAAGUCCGACGUGCCGUUUUGGCACGGCCUCAAAACUUAGGCUUUGGGAUUAC